RNAcentral lists this ribosomal RNA (270 nucleotides) under uncultured archaeon. RNAcentral describes it as "partial 16S ribosomal RNA". It matches the Rfam family "Archaeal small subunit ribosomal RNA", at positions 477 to 747 of the family's 1478-position model. The record is from RNAcentral.
CAGCCCCUCGAGUGGUGGGGAUGAUUAUUUGGCCUAAAGCGUCCGUAGCCGGCCGUGUAAGUCUCCCGUUAAAUCCAGCGUCUCAAGCGUUGGACUGCAGGAGAUACUGUACGGCUAGAGAGUGGGAGAGGUCAGCGGUAUUCUGGGGGUAGGGGCGAAAUCCUUUGAUCCCCGGGGGACCACCAGUGGCGAAGGCUGCUGACUAGAACACGUCUGACGGUCAGGGACGAAAGCUGGGGUAGCGAACCGGAUUAGAUACCCGAGUAGUCC